RNAcentral lists this ribosomal RNA (332 nucleotides) under uncultured beta proteobacterium. Its description in RNAcentral is "bacterial SSU rRNA". It matches the Rfam family "Bacterial small subunit ribosomal RNA", at positions 157 to 480 of the family's 1533-position model. Lineage: Bacteria; Pseudomonadati; Pseudomonadota; Betaproteobacteria. The record is from RNAcentral.
GUUACGCUAAUACCGCAUACGGAUCUAUGUGAUGAAAGCGGGGGACUCGCAAGGGCCUCGCGCGAUUGGAGCGGCCGAUAUCAGAUUAGGUAGUUGGUGGGGUAAAGGCUCACCAAGCCAACGAUCUGUAGCUGGUCUGAGAGGACGACCACCCACACUGGAACUGAGACACGGUCCAGACUCCUACGGGAGGCAGCAGUGGGGAAUUUUGGACAAUGGACGCAAGUCUGAUCCAGCCAUUCCGCGUGCAGGAUGAAGGCCCUCGGGUUGUAAACUGCUUUUGUACGGAACGAAAAGGUUUCUAUUAAUACUAGGAGCUCAUGACGGGACCG